RNAcentral lists this ribosomal RNA (468 nucleotides) under uncultured bacterium. RNAcentral describes it as "partial 16S ribosomal RNA". It matches the Rfam family "Bacterial small subunit ribosomal RNA", at positions 28 to 507 of the family's 1533-position model. The record is from RNAcentral.
GACGAACGCUGGCCGCGUGCUUAACACAUGCAAGUCGAACGGAAAGGCCCUGCUUUUGUGGGGUGCUCGAGUGGCGACCGGGUGAGUAACCCGUGAGUAACCUGCCAUUGCCUUUGGGGUAACUUCAUGCAGCUGGGGGUCAUACCAGCAAGGAGCUCCUGCUGCAUGGUGGGGGCUGGUAAGUUUCGGCGGUUGGGAAUGGACUAGCGGCCUAUCAGCUUGUUGGUGGGGUAGUGGCUUACCAAGGCUUUGACGGGUAGCCGGGCUGAGCGGGGGACAGGCCCCACUGGGACGGGGAUACGGCCCGGACUCCUACGGGAGGCAGCAGUGGGGAAGAGUGCACAAUGGGCGGAAGGCUAAUGCAGCAACGCCGUGUGGGGGAAGACGGCCUUCGGGUUGGAAUGCGCAUUCGCCUGUGACGAAGCGUGAGUGACGGUAACGGGUGAAGAAGCACCGGCUAACUACGUG